Molecule: long non-coding RNA, 1119 nt
Organism: Anguilla rostrata (American eel)
Lineage: Eukaryota; Metazoa; Chordata; Actinopteri; Anguilliformes; Anguillidae
Exons: 3
Source: RefSeq, a predicted model, not a curated record
GUCUAAAGGCCAUGAUACACGGGCAACUUUUUUGGGCAAUAUUGCCAGCAAUAUUGCUGACAACGAUUGCCGGCAAUAUUUUCUAUUGAAAAGCGGCAACUUUUCAUUAUCUGGGAAAUUAGAUCGAUGGGGCAACACAGUAGGCAACUUUUCGGGAUCCUCCAAUCAGAAUACAGAUUUUAGUCAUGUGACUACUUCUCUUGGCUGAAGAAAAUCGACGAAGAUGGCGGCCAAUCUUGCCUGGAGCGAAGAAAUGGAGAGGCAACUGAUUUCAUUUUUCUCAGAACACCCGUGCCUUUGGAAAGUGAAGCUUGAGGUCUACAAAGACAAAGACAGGAGGGACAGAUGUAUGGAGGCCUUGCGCAACCAACUAAAUUCUGCACAGACAGAAGUUGUUGUCACAGUCGAUAUCAUUAAAAAAAAUUUCAAAAACAUGCGGACAACCUUUCAGCGGGAAAAUAAAGCAGCAUCCAGUAAGUGGUCAGGCGAUGGAGCAGAUGACGUUUACAUUCCAAGAUGGAAAUACUAUAAAGACCUGCUUUUCUUGAAAGAAGGAGGAGAACCCAAUGAGACCGAAGAUAAUAUCCCAUCCCAAUCCCAACCCAUCCAAAUUGAAACCGCAACUCCACCCAUCCAAAUUGAAACCGCAACUCCAGACAAGACCACUUCCAAAAAUGUAAAAAAACAAAAAACAGGGGACAUCAGCAAAGCAGAGGUGGCAAUGGAGUAUGCCUUGGAGUGCUUGAAAAGACAAGAACAGAAGUUGGAGUCAGCACAUGCAGGAUUUUUAAAAUAUUUAGAUGAGUGUCUGCAAGAGGUGCCGGUGGAGAAACUGAGGAGUGUGAAGAGGAAGAUUAUUGAAAUUGUACAUACCAAUAUAGAAGAGUAAUCUCAGAUAGAACUAGUUUAACCAAUUAGUUUUUUUAUUACCCAUUUUAUUUAAGUAAUAACAUACAAGAGGAAAGACUAUACUGUAAUUAAUGUUCAAUAAAAUCUAACAAAAUUUCAUUUUAUAAUCACCUGUUCACUUGUUUUCAUUACUUUUCUAUGUGCAGUGUGAAUUUGAAUGAAAAAUUAUUUUGAAUAAAUGUGUAAUAAAUUAACUGAAUAAAUAUAAAU